This 466-nucleotide long non-coding RNA is filed under the name Cricetulus griseus (Chinese hamster). RNAcentral's name for it is "lncRNA (ENSCGRG00015033791.1)". The record is from RNAcentral. Lineage: Eukaryota; Metazoa; Chordata; Mammalia; Rodentia; Cricetidae.
GGGAAAGUGAAGAAACCUGUUUGGGGCAGCAGUGGGGUGGGCGUGGGCAGGGCCCUACCCAGAACUCUGUGGCAGGACCAGUUUCCAUUGCUUCCGGACCGGAUGCAGGGCUGCGAUCCGGGCGGAGACUAGAGAAUUGCGCCCAGGGGGUGCACCUGUACGUUUUUCUGAACAAAGCUCGCCAGGGGUAGGACCAACGUCUCUGGGUCAGCAGUCACUGGGCGCUUCCGGAAAUCCGCCGAGCGGGUGGGGCCAGUCUGCCAUGGGCAUCAGUGAGCUCACACAGGGGGUGUGCCAAGUUGGCAACUGUCUUAUCUGUGUGCUGGUUAUUCUUUGAAUCAGUUCUCUUGGAGCCUGUUGCCAUCAUCACCGCUGGGAUUUAGAGAAAUGUCCCUUACUGGCUCCUAUGUGGCAGCAUUUGGGUUCCAGCUGGUGGUGCUAUUUGGAAAGGUCAUGGAGCCUUGAG